Molecule: ribosomal RNA, 253 nt
Filed under: uncultured bacterium
Lineage: Bacteria
Description: partial 16S ribosomal RNA
Rfam family: Bacterial small subunit ribosomal RNA
Source: RNAcentral
UACGUAGGGGGCAAGCGUUGUCCGGAAUUACUGGGCGUAAAGGGCGCGUAGGCGGCACGGCAAGUCAGGAGUGAAAGCCCUGGGCUCAACCCGGGAACUGCUUUUGAAACUGCCGAGCUAGAGUGCGGAAGGGGCAACUGGAAUUCCCAGUGUAGCGGUGAAAUGCGUAGAUAUUGGGAAGAACACCUGAGGCGAAGGCGGGUUGCUGGGCCGACACUGACGCUGAGGCGCGAAAGCCAGGGGAGCGAACGGG